UACGUAGGUGGCAAGCGUUGUCCGGAUUUACUGGGCGUAAAGAGCGCGCAGGCGGUCGUUCAAGUCGCGUGUGAAAGCCCCCCGGCUCAACUGGGGAGGGUCACGCGAUACUGAUCGACUCGAAGGCAGGAGAGGGAAGUGGAAUUCCCGGUGUAGUGGUGAAAUGCGUAGAUAUCUGGAGGAAUACCGGUGGCGAAGGCGGCAUCCUGGACCGGCAUUGACGCUGAUGAGCGAAAGCUAGGGGAGCAAACGGG
Molecule: ribosomal RNA, 254 nt
Filed under: uncultured bacterium
Lineage: Bacteria
Description: partial 16S ribosomal RNA
Rfam family: Bacterial small subunit ribosomal RNA
Source: RNAcentral